UGUUACCCUUACCCGCUCCCGCUUGUUCAUAUAGACUCAUAAGGCCUACCCCUGAAACGCCCUCAUUGAUAAUAUCAAUUAGCAUCUGAAUCCACCUAAUAUUUCAAUCUCAUUCCGCUCAGUAACAAAUCCAAGCUCCGCCUUGUGCUUUCCUUCAACGGUUCCCGCAGUUGUUUUUGCAAGAUUGCUGAAAUCCAAUUAUAUCUAAGUCUCAGGUUUGCUUUCUCCUCGUUUCCUUAGAAAUCAUUUCAGAAGAUAAUGAUGAUGAUCGAUUUCAGCUCGUUUUCUCCUACCUACGCUUCCUCUCCUGCCAUUAGAUUUCUCGUGUUUCUUCUCGCCCACUUUUCGAUAAUUCGGAAGCUUUCUCUGUUUCUGGAAUUGCUCCGUCGCGGUUAUCUUCACUUAUCUGAUACUUAGGUUUAGGUUUUAAUUAGGGUUAUUCAAGGAUUGCUCAUGAAAGUGGGCUUUUGAUGAUUGGAUUUUUCCUGGAAUUUCAAGGACCAGAAAAUUGAAAGUCGAGGGCUUUGGUAUUGGUGAAAAGGGAAAAUCUAUAACAUGGAAUUAAAUUUUUGUAGUAUUUAUUCUAUUUCGGAUAUACCUUGAAAAAACAUGUUUAGGCCUUAGGGUUUUUUUUUUUUGGUGAGAACGCAAAAAAGAGUAUGCUGGAAGAAUAAUAUUCUCUACUUUGUUUCUUGAUUUUGGAGAUCGGCUGCUAUUUUUGGUUGGCUCCUGGUCGAUUUCAAAAAAUAUCCAGCUGUCUGUAAUUUUGGACUUACUACUUUUUGAUUAUGUGCAAAUAUGAGAUUCCCAGAGUUUAGUGUUUGUUUAGGAUUUAAUUAUGGUUAUCUAUGGCUUGCUGAGCAAUUGGAUUUUGGUGGAAUUCGAGGCUUUGGUCUGUGGGCUUGUGUUCUCUGUAUUGGAGAUACUUAUUUUGUCCUGCAACAGAUUGAAUGAAAUGCACAGGAGACUGCGGACUGUUUGUGAAUCAUUAUUUCUAGUUUGGACCUUCUUCAAAGGAGUUGAUUUGAUAUUUUUUGGAUCUUCUUCGCAAGAUUGACCUUGCCAAAGCUUGUGGAUUUUACCUGAUUUGAAAUCUGUUCUAAGUUUGGAUAUAAUUUGAAGGAAUCAAAUUGGUGUUUGGAUCAUCUUCAGAAGAAACUGUAAUUGAUUUGUAUACAUCUUUUGUCUAUAGCAUGGGAAUUAGACGAGCAGCAAGAAGAUAUGAUGAUGACAGUGUAGAAAGACUUUCUGUUCGACAUAAAGGAGAAGCAGUAAACAUCAAUGAUUACCAUAGAAAUGCCAAGCCAUACCAUGCUACAUCAGAAGAUCUAUUAGGAAAGAGCUCCAGUCAUCGUCCUAAGAAUUCAUGUGUUUCGACUAUAAAGGCCCGAGAGAAAGAAAAUAAGGUUUGCAAGUACUGGAUGUCAGGCUACUGUGCCAGAGGCGAUAAAUGCUGGUAUUUGCAUUCAUGGUAUUGUGGGGAUGGAUUCACGAUGUUGGCAAAGCUGGAGGGCCACAAGAAGGCUGUUCAUGGAAUUGCUCUUCCUCUAGAGUCUGAGAAGCUCUAUUCUGGCAGUAGUGAUGGAACUGUACGGACAUGGGACUGCCACUCUGGAAAGUGUGUUCAUUUGAGUAAUCUUGGUGAUGAAGUUGGUUCUUUGAUUAGUGAGGGCCCAUGGGUGUUCAUUGGUAUGAAAGGUGUUGUUAAGUUAUGGAAUAUUCAAACAGCGGAUGAAUUGAGUCUAAAAGGGCCUGUUGGACAAGUAUAUUCUAUGGUUGUUGCUAAUACCAUGCUUUUUGCUGGGGCACAGAAUGGUGUUAUUUUUGCGUGGAAAGGCAGUUCUGAGGCCAAUCCUUUUCAACUAGUUGCAUCCAUGGAGGCUCAUUCCGGUGCUGUAUUAUGUUUAACUGUUAGAGAAAAAAAGUUAUAUUCUGGUUCUGUGGAUCACACUAUAAGGGUCUGGGACAUGGACACAUUACAGUGCAUUAAGACAUUGAAUGGACAUGAGGAUGCUGUGAUGUCUCUUCUUUACUGUAAUGGGUGUUUGUUCUCAUGUUCACUGGACUGCACUAUAAAAGUUUGGUUUGCUACAGAAGGAGAAAAUUGGGAAGUGAUCUAUACUCAUAAGGAAGAAAAUGCACAGUGUUAUUGAGGAGCUAGGAACAAGGAAAACAAUCACUUCUCAUCUAGGUGAUUGAAUGUUGUUAUAUUCAGAGUGCUGUGCAAUUGAUAAACUGCUAGGAGAGGCAAGGAACCUUUGAGGCACGGGCGUGCUAGCACUUUGUGGCAUGAAUGAUGCAGAAACUAAACCAGUUUUGUUCUGCUCCUGCAAUGACAACACUGUUCGCCUGUAUGACUUGCCGUCGUUUACUGAGAGAGGCAGGUUAUAUUCAAAACAAGA
This is an RNA transcript of Theobroma umbraticum, 2402 nucleotides long. It is a transcript of the gene named zinc finger CCCH domain-containing protein 48-like, with no coding region annotated. The record is from RefSeq and is a predicted model, not a curated record. NCBI's taxonomy places the organism in Eukaryota, Viridiplantae, Streptophyta, Magnoliopsida, Malvales, Malvaceae.